AACUCAAACGUUGCUAUCUAUCAAUUAACACCCCUUACUUUAAAUCCAUUGAAGUGUAUUCAUCUUUCUUCCAUCUCAUUUUCUCUUUAUAUAUGCUUUCCUAUCACAACAUAUUAUUUAUUAGGGUUGCCCAACUGGCGGGUUCGGGCCCAAUCGCCGGUUUUGGUCGAACGAGUGACCAUCAAAACACCAGGCCGCCUUUGUCUGCAGCCAUGCGGCGGGUUGCUCGGGUACGGGUUACUUGGUUCAUGACUAUCUCGGGUGGAUUCGUUCGGUUUGUACAUCCAUUAAAAAAAUUCGAAAAUCAUGAUAAAGAUGAAGAGAGAUAAAAGGCAGAAGCUAACAAAAUUCUGAAAGUGCAAAGCUGAAAUUAGAUUAGAGGUUAUACAAUUAGAUCAGAUCUAUAAAAAUUCCAACGAAAAGUUACAAAAAACUUUAAUAGAAGGUAUGGAGCGCACAAACUUUCUUCGAUCUCGCACCACCGAAACUAAAUCGCAGUUAAGAAGGAAGGAGUGCCGGCGAUUGACGGUUCCAUGGAGGAAAGGGCCACCUUUAUGAGAGACCAGUAACUCCGUCGCAAGAAGAAGAUGAGAGGGUUGCCAUAUUUUAGAGUGAUGGCUCCAUUGCGACGUCAAGGGAGUAGAAGUGUUGGUCAUGGCGGCUCCGUUGCGAUGUGAGUAGAAGUGGUGGCUGCCGGCUGGUGCGUGCUACGAUUUGCCUUGUCGGAUUGGCUGCUAGGGAUGAAUAUCCAAAGAAAUAUGCAAGAUUUGGUGAGGUAAUGAGGGUUUUCAAGUUUUUUUGGUCCAAAGGUGCUAAGCAUCAGCCAAAGGGUGCUAAGCAUCAUCUGGCAAUGGAGACUCCUUCAGCAUGAAGUAACAGAGUGCUAAGCGUUUAAAAUGGAAUGCUAAGCAUCAUCUGGCGGUGGGGAAUCCUUCAGCAUGAAGAAACAGGGCGCUAAGCACCUAAAGUGGAGUGCUAAGCACCCUGUAACAGAUCUGCAAUGCUAUAAAACUAAAAGUUCAACACAAAACAGGGAGUUCACGAAAAUCAGAGAUAAAUACACAAACCCAUCACUUGGGGAAAGGGAGAACUAAAAGGAGAUCAUCAAGGGUGACCUAGGAGACUAGAGAGAAAGCUUUGGAGCUGAUUUCAUCGUCGGGGAACCGUCACGAGUCGGUUUUUCAUCGCUCUUCUUCUCUUUUAUCAUUGUAAAGCUAUCCAUGGAAGUGGAUAGCUAAUUUCUCAUUUGUUGGGAUUAGAACUAGUUGUUUUGAUGCUCAUGUAAUCUAUUUGAUUUCUUUUCAUGCAAA
Long non-coding RNA from Lotus japonicus, 1310 nucleotides. RefSeq lists it as uncharacterized. The transcript is spliced from 2 exons. Lineage: Eukaryota; Viridiplantae; Streptophyta; Magnoliopsida; Fabales; Fabaceae. The record is from RefSeq and is a predicted model, not a curated record.